AGAUAGAAAGCAAUCUGGAUA
Molecule: microRNA, 21 nt
Filed under: Arabidopsis lyrata
Lineage: Eukaryota; Viridiplantae; Streptophyta; Magnoliopsida; Brassicales; Brassicaceae
Description: aly-miR3449-3p
Source: miRBase by way of RNAcentral